RNAcentral lists this ribosomal RNA (497 nucleotides) under uncultured bacterium. Its description in RNAcentral is "partial 16S ribosomal RNA". It matches the Rfam family "Bacterial small subunit ribosomal RNA", at positions 28 to 507 of the family's 1533-position model. The record is from RNAcentral.
GAUGAACGCUGGCGGCGUGCCUAAUACAUGCAAGUCGAGCGAACAGACGAGGAGCUUGCUCCUCUGACGUUAGCGGCGGACGGGUGAGUAACACGUGGAUAACCUCCCUAUAAGACUGGGAUAACUUCGGGAAACCGGAGCUAAUACCGGAUAAUAUAUUUAACCGCAUGGUUCAAUAGUGAAAGACUGUUUUUCUGUCACUUAUAGAUGGAUCCGCGCCGCAUUAGCUAGUUGGUACGGUAACGGCUUACCAAGGCGACGAUGCGUAGCCGACCUGAGAGGGUGGUCGGCCACACUGGAGCUGGAACACGGUCAAGACUCCUACGGGAGGCAGCAGUAGGGAAUCUUCCGCAAUGGGCGAAAGCAUGACGGAGCAACGCCGCGUGAGUGAUGAAGGUCUUCGGAUCGUAAAACUCUGUUAUUAGGGAAGAACAAAUGUGUAAGUAACUAUGCACGUCUUGACGGUACCUAAUCAGAAAGCCACGGCUAACUACGUG